RNAcentral lists this long non-coding RNA (779 nucleotides) under Medicago truncatula (barrel medic). RNAcentral's name for it is "long non-coding RNA (MTRU_LNC004811)". The record is from RNAcentral. Lineage: Eukaryota; Viridiplantae; Streptophyta; Magnoliopsida; Fabales; Fabaceae.
AAUAUACCACUCAAGCGAGGUUAGCGGGGAACAAUGGAAAAGAUAAAAAGUAGGGUAGUUUUGCAAUAUUUUUUCAUGUAUUGUAAAUAUAGAAUUCUUUUUUCAAUAUAAGUCAAACAAAAAACAUUUGCAGCUGAAAUUGUGUCGAUCUUGCAGCUACCGCUUUUUUUAUAGCGACAACAUCUUUGUAGCAUCCAACAAACUUUUGAACAGAGGGAUUAAUCUUUUUGUGCCAUCAACCUUUUAGCUUCAUUGGUUUCCUAUCUUGAAAAUUCUUGUCGUGAUGGUUAUUAUAAGCUUCAUCAAUUCUCUUCCAAAAACUGUCCUUUUUGAUCAUUUUUAACAUUCGGAUCCUUUGAAAUAUUGAGUCAUAAUUGAAUGGGAAGUCCAUCCUCCUUUCGUUGAAAUCUUACUUUCGAAUUAUUCACAAUCGAUAUAGUUUCAAUUUCUUUAUUAAGGUUAAUAGUUUCAAAGCCACCUUGAGUGCAAACAUGUGGUAUUUCAAGCUCUUGAUCUUUUAAUUGCACACCACCACUACCCAUUUGAAUCACAUGAGGCAUAUUGAGAUUAUUUGAUUUAGAAGAAAAUUCUUGAUGGGAUAAGGUGAUGUAUGAUAUGGGUAAUUUCAAAGUCUUGAUUAUUUUGUGUAUUUAGGACAUUGGAUGCAUUUUCAAAGGAUGAGACAUUUUGUUGACUUGAGAUACAUGGAGAAUUGCUAAAUUUUGCAUUAAAUUGACCAAAAAUCACGAUGAUUGGGGUUUAUUUGCAAAUAAAAUGUA